CACUCUAAGUAUGAACGCCAAGCGUAUUGCAUAAAGCUUGGUGUUCUACCUUACAGUGAA
RNAcentral lists this microRNA precursor (60 nucleotides) under Heliconius melpomene (postman butterfly). RNAcentral's name for it is "Hme-Mir-971_pre stem-loop". It matches the Rfam family "mir-971 microRNA precursor family", at positions 10 to 68 of the family's 77-position model. Lineage: Eukaryota; Metazoa; Arthropoda; Insecta; Lepidoptera; Nymphalidae. The record is from RNAcentral.